This 515-nucleotide long non-coding RNA is filed under the name Olea europaea (common olive). RNAcentral describes it as "long non-coding RNA (OEUR_LNC013760)". Lineage: Eukaryota; Viridiplantae; Streptophyta; Magnoliopsida; Lamiales; Oleaceae. The record is from RNAcentral.
GGUCUGAAAGUGGCUGCUGUUGAACCAGAGUACUACGUGCCUCUACUCUCUCUCGUACACACAGUUGAGAGAGAGAUGGUAUACAAAGCAGCCAGCAUAAGGAUAUGAGGGAGGGAGUCAAGCAUGAGGAUAUCUUUAGCUUCACAUGUAGAUUUUAUUGUUCAUAUGAGCUUUCAGGCGUGGAAGGCUUAGUAGUUGCGGAGCGAAACUGAAUUUUGCUUUGAGCAAGUUUCUCGUGUGGGCUGAGGUGAGUCUUGGAUUUGUAAUUUCUUAUGCUUUAUUCUAUGUUCUUGAAAUGUUGAAAAUUGAAGCAUUAUGUGCUCUCUGUGACGUUGGGAUUCCAAUUUUGCUGCCAUGCUCACAGCUUAUGGUAAUACAUAUAUUUAGAUAGACUAAGUGGAAAUAGCUAAAUCUAAUGCAGCAGCUACAGAGAUCUUAUAGCUUUAGAAUUUCAAUGUUGUCAUGAUAAAUUUUAUGGGGUGUUUGGCGUGCAUCACUGUCCAGUACUCUACAAG